RNAcentral lists this long non-coding RNA (583 nucleotides) under Cricetulus griseus (Chinese hamster). Its description in RNAcentral is "lncRNA (ENSCGRG00000024531.1)". The record is from RNAcentral. Lineage: Eukaryota; Metazoa; Chordata; Mammalia; Rodentia; Cricetidae.
UUUCCUAAGACUGUCAACAGAACUGGGAAUCACCCAUGGUGUGGCCUUCCGGAAAGGAGUUAGAACACUCCAGUUCUCUAGCAACAAGAACAGUCUUUGACAGGAUUGACAUCUUUAAGAAAGCUUUGAGUGUGUACAGGGAUGUACACAGAGCCUGGUUUGGAAGUGCUCACAGGCAAUCUUGAGGUAUGCCCACGGACACUGCUGAGGAACUUACACUGCUGAAGUACACCUACAGACAUAGCUGAGGUACACCCACAGACGCUGCCUAGGUACUUACUCUCCUGGAUGCUGCUAAGGAACACCUGCAGAUGCUGCUGAGGUAUACCCACAGAGGAAGGGCUUUUUCCUUCACCUUGCUGAGGAGGCUUCUCUCCUAGGGGAGCCAACAAGAAUGCCUUCAAAUAGAACAACUAUUCUUACCAGGUUGGUUUUUUAUUUUGAGACAGGGUUUCUCUGUACUGCUUUGGAGCCUUUCCUAGAACUCGCUCUGUAGACCAGGCUGGCCUCAAACUCACAGAGAUUCACCUGCCUCUGCCUCCUGAGUGCUGGGAUUAAAGGCGUGCACCCCCAACACCAGGCC